Molecule: transfer RNA, 93 nt
Filed under: Tepidimonas thermarum
Lineage: Bacteria; Pseudomonadati; Pseudomonadota; Betaproteobacteria; Burkholderiales
Also listed under: 3 other names
Description: tRNA-Ser
Rfam family: tRNA
About the family: Transfer RNA (tRNA) molecules are approximately 80 nucleotides in length. Their secondary structure includes four short double-helical elements and three loops (D, anti-codon, and T loops).
Source: RNAcentral
GGAGUGAUGACCGAGAGGCCGAAGGUGCUCCCCUGCUAAGGGAGUAUACGGUGUAGAGCCGUAUCGAGGGUUCGAAUCCCUCUCACUCCGCCA